RNA transcript from Salarias fasciatus (jewelled blenny), 2388 nucleotides. It is a transcript of the gene named down-regulator of transcription 1, with no coding region annotated. The record is from RefSeq and is a predicted model, not a curated record. NCBI's taxonomy places the organism in Eukaryota, Metazoa, Chordata, Actinopteri, Blenniiformes, Blenniidae. The transcript has 6 exons.
GCGUGGUUUGUCUGCGGCUGCGCGGUAGGCGGCAUCCACUGCAAGCGGCGUCUCUGGAACAUUCAGUUCCACAUGCUGGACGCGCUUCAUUGUUAGCCUAGCUUAGCCUAGCCUAGCCUAGCCUAGCCUAGCCUAGCCUAGCCUGGCGCCCACCACGCUCCCUGUAACUGCACUAGCCGGCUCGGUGAGUUUCUGGCUGGGCUUUCUCUCGCUUUCACUGUACCGACGUGUUCAUCGGACGUGUCUUUCUUUUCGUGCUUUAACUCGUGCUUUUUUUGUAAGAUCAGAUUCCCUGUUUAUAAAAACCUUUCGGUUUUCCCGGGUAGCACAGUUAGCGGGCUAGCACUCUGAAGUUUGAGGAAACUGAAACUGACCCUGGAGGCUGCUCGGACGUUGUGACUUGUGUUUGGCGGCUCGCCUGCGUGUGUGCCUUUUUUCUUUUAUUUUUGUUUUUGCACUCGCCACGAUGGCUUCUUCCUCGGGAAACGACGACGACCUAACCAUCCCGAGAGCGGCUAUCAACAAGAUGAUCAAGGAAACCCUCCCCAAUGUGCGGGUGGCCAACGACGCCCGGGAGCUGGUGGUCAACUGCUGCACGGAGUUCAUCCAUCUGGUGUCGUCGGAAGCCAACGAGAUCUGUAACAAGUCCGACAAGAAGACCAUCUCCCCGGAGCAUGUCAUCAGUGCGCUCGAGAGCCUUGGUUUUGGAUCGUACAUCGCCAACGUGAAAGAAGUUGUGCAGGAGUGUAAAACCGUGGCACUGAAGAGAAGGAAGGCCAACUCUCGACUGGAGAACCUGGGAAUCCCGGAGGAGGAGCUUCUCAGACAGCAGCAGGAACUGUUUGCCAAGGCGCGGCAGCAGCAGGCGGAGCUGGCUCAGCAGGAGUGGCUGCAGAUGCAGCAGGCCACCACUCAGUCCGUGGACAUGGCGGUGGCGUCCACCAGCGCCUCCCAGCAGUCCUGCACCUCUCAGGACGACGACGACGAUGACGACGACGACGACGAUGAAGACGACAUGUGAACCCCUGGACCCCCUGCGUCUGUCUGAACCCCUUUCGGCGUGUCAAAUUCCUGGCGGCGGCGGCGGCGGCGUCCCAGGCAGACACGGGACACGUUUGACAGCCGCUGGCAGACACCAGUGCGGCGUUUUCAGGCGCACGUAUGGAAGAGACAGUAAUGAGGUAGACGUGGGAGGGAGGGGGUGAAGAUCAGCCUGAUUUUACUUGGAUUUCUCCUUGAAUGUUCCAGUAUGUGGUUGUGAUUUGUAGAUUUCUGGACGCAUCACGGAUCCCACUGGAAGCAGGUGCUGUCUGACGCGACCACGACUUCUUCUCUUGUUUUCCAUUCCUCCCAUGUUUUGGCUCCUUCAGUUACUGCACCACAUAGGUUAUUGUUGUCACUGUGUGUGUGUGUGCGCGUGUGUGUGUGUGUGUGUGUGCGUGUGUGCGCGUGUGUGUGUGCGGCCCUGUCGUGGCGUGCUGAGCGGUCAGGUGGACCCCGCCCUCGCCCACAUGACGCCCCAGCACCCUGCCGCCCUCAGACAGACCAGCAGGUUUAGAAAAUGGACGAGCGAAGUUUUAUUCCACAGAAAACUGAAGUCCCUUUAAGCCCCUCUGUAUAGAAACUUCCCUUCUGCCUUCCUGUCUACUCUGAACCACCCACAGUAUUUGGCAAUUAGCUACACGUUGAAAAUAACUUCAUUUUGCCUCAUGCAACCAAAGAUGGAAAGCAGCCGGGAUUGUUGGUUGUUUUUGUUUUUCUUCUUUUUAAUGAAGGUUUGGGUAUUGUCAUUGCUGGCUCCAGACGUAAUGAAAUAGGAUUAUUGUGACUCCACCCCCUCCUCAGAUUGCACUCAAUCCCAAGUAAACUACUGCUGUUUUUUAAGAAAGCAUCAAACUGUAGCUGUGGCUCCAUCUAGUGGACACUGUGGAGAGCUACAGCUACCAGUCAACGUGAACGGAUGAAGAUGUUAUCCUCCUCCAUCAUGAUCCCAGGGUCAGGGAGCAGGUGGUCACGGGGAGCAGGUUCAGGAUCUGUUGGUGGCAGAGUAAAACUGCAGGUUUUUUAAGACACUCCAAGCCUGGGAUCCAUGCAUUGUCCGUACUUGUUUCUCUCACAUAUGUUCUAAAUGGAGCUGUGUUCUGCAGCUGUCUAAUUGUUAUCAAUAAAUUUAUCCGUUUAAAUUUGACCUUGAACACUAAGAACGAAGUCAUUUGACCUUCCUGUCAAUCAACAACAAAUGUAAUGUCCUGGACUGAACCGGGUGACCAACAGCAAUACAGUUACGUUGUUUUUAUCCCCCCUUCAAAAAACGUAUUUAUACGCUUCCUUUCUUCAUGUCGUCUGUUGUGGACUGCAGGCAGAGAGGACCUUCACCGAGGCGCUUGG